RNAcentral lists this ribosomal RNA (253 nucleotides) under uncultured bacterium. RNAcentral's name for it is "partial 16S ribosomal RNA". It matches the Rfam family "Bacterial small subunit ribosomal RNA", at positions 524 to 776 of the family's 1533-position model. The record is from RNAcentral.
UACAGAGGUCCCGAGCGUUGUUCGGAUUUAUUGGGCGUAAAGGGUGCGUAGGCGGCGGAGUAAGUUGGGUGUGAAAUCCCGGGGCUUAACCUCGGAAUUGCAUUCAAUACUGCUUCGCUCGAGUACUGGAGAGGAGGCUGGAAUUUACGGUGUAGCAGUGAAAUGCGUAGAUAUCGUAAGGAAGGCCGGUGGCGAAAGCGGCUCACUGGCCCGGUACUGACGCUGAGGUGCGAAAGCGUGGGGAGCAAACAGG